UACGAAGGGGGCUAGCGUUGCUCGGAAUUACUGGGCGUAAAGGGCGCGUAGGCGGCCGUAUAAGUCAGGCGUGAAAUUCCUGGGCUUAACCUGGGGGCUGCGCUUGAGACUGUAUGGCUUGAGGUCAGAAGAGGGUCGUGGAAUUCCCAGUGUAGAGGUGAAAUUCGUAGAUAUUGGGAAGAACACCGGUGGCGAAGGCGGCGACCUGGUCUGAUACUGACGCUGAGGCGCGACAGCGUGGGGAGCAAACAGG
Molecule: ribosomal RNA, 253 nt
Filed under: uncultured Roseomonas sp.
Lineage: Bacteria; Pseudomonadati; Pseudomonadota; Alphaproteobacteria; Acetobacterales; Roseomonadaceae
Description: partial 16S ribosomal RNA
Rfam family: Bacterial small subunit ribosomal RNA
Source: RNAcentral